CCUACGGGAGGCAGCAGUAGGGAAUAUUGCUCAAUGGGGGAAACCCUGACGCAGCAACGCCGCGUGGAGGAUGAAGGUUUUCGGAUUGUAAACUCCUUUUGUUAGAGAAGAAAAUGACGGUAUCUAACGAAUAAGCACCGGCUAACUCCGAGCCAGCAGCCGCGGUAAUACGGAGGGGGCAAGCGUUAUUCGGAAUCAUUGGGCGUAAAGGGCGCGUAGGCGGGUUUGCAAGUCAGGUGUGAAAUCCCAAGGCUUAACCAUAGAACUGCUUUUGAAACUGUUAUUCUAGAGUAGAGGAGGGGUAGGUGGAAUUCUUGGUGUAGGGGUGAAAUGCGUAGAGAUCAAGAGGAAUACUCAUGGCGAAGGCGACCUGCUAGAACAUAACUGACGCUGAGGCACGAAAGCGUGGGGAGCAAACAGGAUUAGAUACCCCAGUAGUC
RNAcentral lists this ribosomal RNA (440 nucleotides) under uncultured bacterium. RNAcentral's name for it is "partial 16S ribosomal RNA". It matches the Rfam family "Bacterial small subunit ribosomal RNA", at positions 338 to 795 of the family's 1533-position model. The record is from RNAcentral.